This is a long non-coding RNA of Manis pentadactyla (Chinese pangolin), 3501 nucleotides long. RefSeq lists it as uncharacterized. The record is from RefSeq and is a predicted model, not a curated record. The transcript is spliced from 5 exons. NCBI's taxonomy places the organism in Eukaryota, Metazoa, Chordata, Mammalia, Pholidota, Manidae.
AAAUACGAGAACAACAAGUCCACUGGACUGAACCGUGCAAGUCCAUUGGCCACCUGAGCAAGAGUCACUGCAGGCGUCGUAAGGCUAGAAGCCAGAAGCCCAGCUGCUCCGCAGGAAGGUUCAAGGAGCAGUGAGGAGGGGGGAGAGAGAACAGGAACCAAAGCUGGUUUUAAAAUACUGUCUUUCUGAAAAUGUCUUGACAUCUGAUAAUGAAGACUCAGUCCAUGAAGAAGGCAAAUUACGUGGUGUUCUGGGAAGAUGGCAAGACAUUUUCCAGUAGGGGAGAGGGAGGCCUAUUGAAGAGAGAACAAGAGGUUUCAUCUCUGAAGAUUUCACAGACCAUGGAGGGCCCACAGCAAGGACCUGUCUGAAGAAAGGGGUCCCAACAGCACCUACCAGCCAUAACAAGACAUCACUAUGUCAAGGAACACGGGCAUUUCUCCCAGAACACAUGUGCAGUGCUCACAAUGGCCAAGAGGCUGCUGCAUGGUCUGAGUGCCGGGCCACCACCACCACAGAGAUGAGCAGUGUCCUCACUCCCACCCUGUCUCCAUCCUCAGCCCUGAGCACACAUUAAUGUCAGCAAGGAUUAUGGGAGAGACAAAGAAGUCAUACAAUUCAUCAAGCCAAGGAAAACGAAAGCAGAUGAGAGGAAGAACCCCUGGCAUUGAGCCUCCCAAAGGCUGGAUGGCAUUCUGCAAAUGGGGAAGGGGCCGCAGUCAGUGGACUGCGGGUGGUGCACAGGACAGAUACAGGCGCCUGAGACUUGGGGGAGGCUGAGGAGGGGUGCUGAGUAAGCCCUGGAGAUGCUCUGUGACCCUCAUGAAGAAUUAACCACGUAAGUGCACUCGGUGCCAGGCUGCAUGCAGCCCUAAGCCAUGAUACUGCAGAGACCCGCCUGUCACUCCCACAGAGCUUAGGGCCACACUGCUUCCCCAAAUGGCAUAACUGCUCAGUCUGGGGUGGCCCCACAAAACUGAAAAGGACCAAUGGCUGCCUUCUUCUUAAGGGAAGUAUUUCACAUGUCAAGACAGUGCCCUGGAAGAAUAUUCCUGUGAAAUGUCUGCUCUGCAAAAUAUGCAGUCUACCCAUGUACUUCACCACUACAGGAAAUGAAAAGAUCUAUAAGAUGUAUUUUUAAACAAAAAGGACAUUUCCAAAAACAAAGUAAAAUUGAAGUUUCUGUGUUUUAGAUAGUAAGACUUUCUUUCAAUAAUGAACACUUAGAGCUGAACAAAAACUGGUGUCAUCUAUCAAAAACAUAUCAAGAUGCUUUUGCAGGGAUCCUGGGAAAGGCCUGCAUGACCUCCUCAGGGUCUCUAGUCUCUAAGGGACGAGUACCUUAAAAUUAGAUCUAAACCACAUCUAAGCCAAUUAAAACAAGUAAUUGCCAGGGAAGUUGUAUGAGUGUAAUCAAAUACUCCGUCCACACCAGCGGCCUCUUGCAGCGCACAGUGGGUCUCCCAAGCUUUAUGUCUUUAGGAUCUUGGUUUUUAUAAUGACUCUACUUAACAGAGUGCUUCCUAUGAUUCCAAACUCAGGCUUUUCUGGACUGUAUGAAGAAAACAAAAGUUUGGAGAGGUGUUUGUUACGUUUAACUUUGUUGCUAUGUUAAAAAUUAAUAAAUAAAUAACCUUGGACAUGUUUAUUUCAUUGGGUCUGUCUGUAUUUAACAUACCAAAAAAGAAACGUUCUUUCUUAAUGCUAUUCUCAGCAUCUUAAGAGCACUCUUCGAAUUUAAGUAAUAAAGCAUUCCCUAGGCAUCUAAUCCAUGCCAGGCACUGGGGUUAAGCAAUGCACAGGGCACAAAGUGCAAACUGUAGAGACUCCAACUACUGGAUUGGUCGUCAGGCUGAGGGUGUUAGGGGACAAAAGGAGGGAAGUAGGCCCAAGAAAAGGCGACUGCCAAACUCAGUCUUGAAUAUCCUAGAUACUUGCUCGAUAAGAAGUCAGGGAACAAUACUCUGAGCAGAAGGAAAAGGAGUAAGAGUAGAGAGGUGUGAAGGAUCCACAUCACACAUGGAGGCCUGGAAAGAGUAUGGGAAGGCAAGAGCUCAGGCUCCAUGGGCCAAGGGUGGGGCCAGAUCACCACUGGCUUUCUGCCCUGGCCCCGCUGGUCUAUACCCAGAGUGCAGUGGGGGUCACUGAAGGCUUUCAGUUUUUUUUCUUCUGAGCAGGUCAGUGCACUGGUAAGGAGAUGUUCGGUAAAGAGAUUCAGGUGUGGGUCUGUCCUUGCAAAGGCUGGUUGGCUUUAGACAGAGAAAAGCCACCAUUUAGGAGCCACUGACAAGACCCCGCCAAUUUCUCCCAGCAGAUUCACAAGUACAUGCUGCCAGCUGCAGGAUGCUGGACUCCCCAGUGCUCCUAGACCCCUACUUCCAAAGCCAAGCCGCCAGGUGUGCACUAGUGAGGCUGGGAGAGCUCAGCCUAGAAGCCUCUGACUGGGGAGGCCUCAGCUACAGGGUUCCUCUGGGUGUAUGAUGAAGGAAUAUGCCUGAAGGGUUGAAGGAAGGGUUCCUCCUCAAAGUUUUGCUUGAGGAAGGGGCUCCUAAACUUAUCUGAAAACAUUUGGGGGCAAGAACUAUAUCCCUUACAAUCACCCAUACCUAGUACCUAUAUGCUUAAACAUUUAGUACCUUUUCUCUCUCUGGACAUUUUAAAAAUUAACUUUUAAAUAAUAGUAAAGAAAAAUGUUACCUAUAAACUCACUUCCCCAAUCCAAUUAUUUUCAUUUUUGUCCAUCUUCUAAUCCUCACACAUUUACAUUCUGGAAAAUUGUUUUAAAAACCAAUAAUCUUAGAAAAGUGAGUUAACUUCCCACCUCUGAAAAUCACUGCUCAGGAAAGCCAGCAGGCAGCUCAGAACACUGUGGCCAACUUCCUUUCCCCUCUUCUCUUUCAAGCCACCUCAAAACAGGCAAGGGGCUUUACCAAGCAGGAAGUAAAGGGAACCUUAAAUUCAGCUGACUCUAGCACUUUGCAAAUUACUUGCUGAGAAUGUCACAAAUAAUCCCUUUCCUUUGAAGACAUUUCAGCAGCCCUGUUACUGUGUUAAUGUGACCUGGAACUCUAUCUGAAACUCCCCAUGAUAUAAAGGUGCAAUUUUCCUAAGUAGGAAAACAAUAAACACAAAGCACAAGGUGAGGAAGCGAACUUAUUCCUGCAUCUCUUUUCCAGCCACCUGUGACUUUGUCAAGCGCUAUCUCUCUCCUUACCACUCUGCUGGGAGGCUGUAGUCCACUAGGUGGGACAGCCCCACGUUCCCACCGGGGAUGGGCAGGAGGGAAAUGAAGGAUGAUGGCAGCUUUGCAGGACGGCAGCACAGAUUUUACAAAAACGCACACCACUGCUGUGUGACAGCACCCACAGACUUUUUUCCCAGCCACUUAGACAAUCUUGUUUUCCCCGUGUGGUCUAGUCCUCAAACCUCUCUGAAUCGUUCCCUGUGUUACAGGUAGCUUCUGUGUUUUUUGCUAAACCUUGAGUUUUUAUGCUCCACCUC